GACGAACGCUGGCGGCGUGCUUAACACAUGCAAGUCGAACGCUGAAGCACCAUCUUGCGGGUGUGGAUGAGUGGCGAACGGGUGAGUAAUACGUGAGUAACCUGCCCUUGACUCUGGGAUAAGCCCGGGAAACUGGGUCUAAUACUGGAUGCUACAUGUCACCGCAUGGUGGUGUGUGGAAAGUGUUUACUGGUCUUGGAUGGGCUCACGGCCUAUCAGCUUGUUGGUGAGGUAAUGGCUCACCAAGGCGACGACGGGUAGCCGGCCUGAGAGGGUGACCGGCCACACUGGGACUGAGACACGGCCGAGACUCCUACGGGAGGCAGCAGUGGGGAAGAUUGCACAAUGGGCGAAAGCCUGAUGCAGCGACGCUGCGUGAGGGAUGACGGCCUUCGGGUUGUAAACCCCUUUCAGCAGGGAAGAAGCCACAAGUGACGGUACCUGCAGAAGAAGCGCCGGCUAACUACGUG
RNAcentral lists this ribosomal RNA (470 nucleotides) under uncultured bacterium. Its description in RNAcentral is "partial 16S ribosomal RNA". It matches the Rfam family "Bacterial small subunit ribosomal RNA", at positions 28 to 507 of the family's 1533-position model. The record is from RNAcentral.